GUUGUACUUUUCGCAAAUAAGGUCUACUAAACUUAUUGGUCUAAGGAAUUUUCCUUUUAACAGUUUUAACAGUAGUCACCAGGAUCCAAAGCUCCAGAGGACGCUCAGAGCCAUCAGUUAAGGUAGUCACUGAGCUUACUGGGCUUCCUGUUUUCUAGCUCUGUUGGGGAACUGUGGGACUUUCAAACGUCUCAGAAAAAGGAAUUCAAAUUGACAAAUCAGGAUAGAGCUGCAAGAAUCAUUCAGAGGGCCUGGAGAACUUUCCUUGUUAAAUUUCCACCUGAUAGAUACUAUAAAAUUUUUACACACAGACAUAUUGAAGAUUUAUGUGCUAACAGCCCUAGAGAUUAUACAAAGCUCCCAGC
Heterocephalus glaber (naked mole-rat) is the source of this 365-nucleotide long non-coding RNA. NCBI's taxonomy places the organism in Eukaryota, Metazoa, Chordata, Mammalia, Rodentia, Bathyergidae. The record is from Ensembl.